Molecule: ribosomal RNA, 400 nt
Filed under: uncultured bacterium
Lineage: Bacteria
Description: bacterial SSU rRNA
Rfam family: Bacterial small subunit ribosomal RNA
Source: RNAcentral
CCUACGGGGGGCAGCAGUGGGGAAUAUUGGACAAUGGGGGAAACCCUUAUCCAGCGACGCCGCGUGAGGGAAGAAGGUUUUCGGAUUGUAAACCUCUGUCAGUGGGGACGAUAAUGACGGUACCCACGGAGGAAGCCACGGCUAACUACGUGCCAGCAGCCGCGGUAAUACGUAGGUGGCAAGCGUUGUCCGGAAUUACUGGGUGUAAAGGGAGCGUAGGCGGGAUGUCAAGUCAGAAGUGAAAAUUAUGGGCUCAACUCAUAACCUGCUUUUGAAACUGAUAUUCUUGAGUGAAGUAGAGGCAAGCGGAAUUCCUAGUGUAGCGGUGAAAUGCGUAGAUAUUAGGAGGAACACCAGUGGCGAAGGCGGCUUGCUGGGCUUUUACUGACGCUGAGGCUCG